UACAAAUAAGGGAACUAAGUGCCUUCUGC
This 29-nucleotide non-coding RNA is filed under the name Mus musculus (house mouse). Lineage: Eukaryota; Metazoa; Chordata; Mammalia; Rodentia; Muridae. The record is from RNAcentral.